UUUAGCCGUGGAGCAGUAUCCUAGUUUGAAUAACACCACGAGGACGGGCCUAAAAAUCCGUUAAAGAGCAUACCUGUGAAACGUCUUGUGCCUGCUUUUUUCGCCCAGAUUAGGGUGGGUGCUGGAUAUGAUGUUUGCUGGGCUUUCUGUAAUGGCAUACAGACUCUUUGACCCAUCAAUACGCUGAGACUUAAGUGCGUGCCUGGCAUUAGACCAUGGUACGGCUUAAGAUUAAACCUACUUUGUGGCUAGCGCUAUGAGUAGUGUAGCUUGCCUUGAGUGAAAGUAUCGGGAUAAUGGAACAAACACCCUAACCUAGGCAUAGGUUAAGUGUUAUUGCCGUUUGAAACUGCUUUUGCAAAAAAGUGCUAGUGGUGAGCUAUUCAUUUGAAGAAAUUUCCUAGGCUGUGACUUUUAUAAAAUUGCGGUGCGUACUAAGUGGUAAUCAAGUAAUGCUUACGGCAACGGAGCAUGCUUUUCCUCAAAUGGGAACGGCCGGAUGGUAACAGAAGGUGGAAAAGUGGGAAAUCCAACUUGACCUAAGACGCAAAGUUUGUUAUAAAAGAUUCCACGUAAUUUU
RNAcentral lists this small RNA (580 nucleotides) under human gut metagenome. The record is from RNAcentral.